This 2146-nucleotide ribosomal RNA is filed under the name human gut metagenome. RNAcentral's name for it is "bacterial LSU rRNA". It matches the Rfam family "Bacterial large subunit ribosomal RNA", at positions 1 to 2003 of the family's 2925-position model. The record is from RNAcentral.
UGCCGCUUGCGAGGGCGUAUGGUGGAUGCCUUGGCAGACAGUACCGAUGAAGGACGUUUGAGGAUGCGAUAAUCCUAGGGGAGCCUCCAACAUGGCUUUGAUCCUAGGGUCUCCGAAUGGGGGAACCCGCCGGCCGUCAUGGGCCGGCACCGCCUAUGGGCGGGGGGUACGCAGGGAAGUGAAACAUCUCAGUACCUGCAGGAAGGGAUACUCCGUGAGUAGUGGCGAGCGAAAGCGGAUCAGACCAAACCGGUUGCGCGUGAUACCCGUCGGGGGUUGCGUUGCCGGUGUCGUGGGAUCACGUGUCCCGGUUCCGACGGGCCGGGCGGGAGUCAUAAAACGGCUUGCCAGGGGAACAGGCUUGAAGGCCUGGCCGUAGAGGGUGCCAGCCCCGUACCUGGACGUGAGCCGUCUUCCGAUCGUGUUGUCCCAAGUAGCGCGGGCCUCGUGGAAUCCCGCGUGAAUCAGCCCAGACCGUUGGGUAAGUCUAAGCAUACCUGUCUGACCGAUAGCGUACCAGUACCGUGAGGGAAAGGUGAAAAGCACCCCGGGAGGGGAGUGAAACAGUUCCUGAAACCGUGCGCCCACAAACCGUCGGAGCCUCUGUGUGGGGUGACGGCGUGCCUAUCGAAAAAUGAGUCUGCGAGUCAGUGGCGGGUGGCGAGCAUAAGCCGUGUGGCGUAUGCGUAGCGAAAGCGAGUCUUAAAAGGCGUUUUUAGUCGCUUGUCCUGGACCCGAAGCGGGAUGAUCUAGCCCUGGGCAGGUUGAAGCGCGGGUAAGACCGCGUGGAGGACCGAACCCACCUGGGUUGAAAACCGGGGGGAUGACCUGGGGCUAGGGGUGAAAGGCCAAUCAAAUUCCGUGAUAGCUGGUUCUCUCCGAAAUGCAUUUAGGUGCAGCGUCGGUCGAUUGCGUCGCGGGGGUAGAGCUACCGGAUGCUUGCGGGCCCUUGUUGGGUACCAACAGCAGCCGAACUCCGAAUACCGUUGACGUGUAUUCCGGCAGUGAGUCGGCGGGGGAUAAGCUCCGUCGUCGAGAGGGAGACAGCCCAGACCGUCGUCUAAGGUCCCGAAGCGUGUGCUAAGUGGGAAAGGAUGUGGAGUCGCAUAGACAGCCAGGAGGUUGGCUCAGAAGCAGCCAUCCUUGAAAGAGUGCGUAACAGCUCACUGGUCUAGUGGUUCCGCGCCGACAAUGUAGCGGGGCUCAAGCACACCACCGAAGACGCGGCAGCAAUCUUCAUGGUUGCUGGGUAGGAGAGCGUCCUGCGAGGGGCGAAGCGGCGGUGGAAACCGGCCGUGGACUUCGUGGGAGUGAGAAUGCAGACAUGAGUAGCGAGAGACGGGUGAGGAUCCCGUCCGCUGGAUGACCAAGGGUUCCGGGGCCACGUUCGUCGUCCCCGGGUGAGUCGGGUCCUAAGGCGAGGCCGACAGGCGUAGUCGAAUGGAUGAACGGGUGGAUAUUCCCGUACCGACCAUGGACCGGCAAAACCGAGACGGUGAGUACUAACCUCCGCCUCGUGGUGGUUCCUUCCUUCGGGUUGGUUCCGCCGCGUGGUGUUGGGACUGUAGCCGCAGUAGGUCAGCGCAGGGGUGACACGGAAUGGGAGCCGGCCGCGGAGGUGGUUUUCCGUGGUCAAGCACGCAGCCAGUCAUGUAGGCAAAUCCGCAUGGCGCGCAUGGCGAGGUGUGAUGAUGGGAGCCGUUAUGGCUCGAUAUCCGGUUGUCCAGGCCGUCGAGAAAAGCCUCGGCGUGAGGGCCAUGGCCGCCCGUACCCCAAACCGACACUGGUGGUCAGGUAGAGAAUACCAAGGCGAUCGAGCGAAUCCUGGUCAAGGAACUCGGCAAAUCACUCCCGUGCCUUCGGUAUAAGGGAGACCCGCUGGGGUGAACCGGCUAGCCCGGGGAGCUUUGGUGGGUGGCACAGACCAGGGGGUAGCGACUGUUUACCAAAAACACAGGUGCAUGCGAAGGCGAAAGCCGCUGUAUAUGCACUGACGCCUGCCCGGUGCCGGAAGGUUAAGAGGAUCCGUCAACUCUUCGGAGCGAAGCGGUGAAUUCAAGCCCCGGUAAACGGCGGUGGUAACUAUAACCAUCCUAAGGUAGCGAAAUUCCUUGUCGGGUAAGUUCCGACCUGCACGAAUGGCGUA